CUUCCGGUUCAGACCUCUGCGUUUGUUGGUGCUGCACGCUAGGUAAGGCAGGCUUCAUCUCUCUUAAGCAAGCUUAUUACUUGUGAUUCAUUUACAUUUUCUGUAUAACAGCUGCAAAUUAAUGCGUGCGCUCAAACAAUGCGCUUAACGACACUCUGAUCGCCGAUCAAUCGUACCUCUGGUAAGCAUCUUCCCACACCUGACAUUUGUUAGCUUAGCUUUAGCUCAGCUUUUGUUGUAUAUCCAGGCCGCCUGUACAAGCUCCACGUUUCCUCCUUCCUGUUAGAGGCACUACAUAAAGAGCUCGGUGGAACGGCCAGCUCGUGGUGUUGGUGGUGGACUUUCCGGGUGGUGGUACUACUUCUGGUUUGGUGCACGAUUUUCUUUUUGGUGCACGAUUUUCUUUUGUUUUGCUUUGUUUCGUUUGCUAUGUUUCUUUUCUUUUAGGACACUACCCCAAAUUUCACUCCCGUCUCUGAGUUGAGCCAUAACUGAUUUUUAAGGUGUGAGUGAUUUUAGAUUAGUAUUUUUGAUUAAACAAUUGUGGAAUAAAUAAAAUUGUUGAAUUGUGA
Molecule: non-coding RNA, 572 nt
Organism: Poecilia reticulata (guppy)
Lineage: Eukaryota; Metazoa; Chordata; Actinopteri; Cyprinodontiformes; Poeciliidae
Source: RefSeq, a predicted model, not a curated record